GAGUUUGUCUGGAGCAAUGAGUACUGCUAAUUCCUCACUACCAUGGUUCAAUUCCAUGGCAAACUCG
RNAcentral lists this transfer RNA (67 nucleotides) under Tomopterna cryptotis. RNAcentral's name for it is "tRNA-Ser". Lineage: Eukaryota; Metazoa; Chordata; Amphibia; Anura; Pyxicephalidae. The record is from RNAcentral.